Long non-coding RNA from Triticum dicoccoides, 581 nucleotides. RefSeq lists it as uncharacterized. NCBI's taxonomy places the organism in Eukaryota, Viridiplantae, Streptophyta, Magnoliopsida, Poales, Poaceae. The transcript has 3 exons. The record is from RefSeq and is a predicted model, not a curated record.
CUUUUGAGGGCAUUAGCAGUUUGACUUUGACAACAGAGGAAGCAGAUCGGAGUGGCUCAAAAUUUCCAAUCCAUGUCUCUGAUAUCUCGAGCUUCUGUUUUGUUGUCUGUUCUUGAGGCGGUGCCGAGGUCUUAAACCGAUGGGUUAAAUUGAUCAAACUUGCAGCUGGUUAUCUCUCAUGGUCUUUGGCGGAGGAAUCUAUCUUGCGAUUCCUGAUUCGCAAGUAGCUCUUCUCAUCAUUUGAAGAUUUAUUAACUAUCGCAGUUGCAUUUGUCUCUUGGUCUUGGACAUACGAAUUGAUCCUUGGUCUUUCACAGAUCAUGAGUUAUGUUCGACACGAGGUGGUGCCAAGAUCUUGAACCGAUUGGUUAGGUCGACCGUAUUUGCAGCUGAUUUUCUCUCUUGCUCUUCCAUGGAGAACUGUUGAAGAUUGCUACAGUUCGCUGCUGCUAUGUUUCUUUCGUGGUCUUGGAUGUAGGAAUUCAUCGUGAGCAGUACUCAUCUCCGUUGAUCAUUGACUAAAUUUGCUGCUGGUUUUGUCGUUUGGUCUUCACCGGACGAAUUCAUCAUGGGUAGCGAUC